Molecule: ribosomal RNA, 2396 nt
Filed under: Staphylococcus aureus
Lineage: Bacteria; Bacillati; Bacillota; Bacilli; Caryophanales; Staphylococcaceae
Description: partial 23S ribosomal RNA
Rfam family: Bacterial large subunit ribosomal RNA
Source: RNAcentral
CGUGAGGGAAAGGUGAAAAGCACCCCGGAAGGGGAGUGAAAUAGAACCUGAAACCGUGUGCUUACAAGUAGUCAGAGCCCGUUAAUGGGUGAUGGCGUGCCUUUUGUAGAAUGAACCGGCGAGUUACGAUUUGAUGCAAGGUUAAGCAGUAAAUGUGGAGCCGUAGCGAAAGCGAGUCUGAAUAGGGCGUUUAGUAUUUGGUCGUAGACCCGAAACCAGGUGAUCUACCCUUGGUCAGGUUGAAGUUCAGGUAACACUGAAUGGAGGACCGAACCGACUUACGUUGAAAAGUGAGCGGAUGAACUGAGGGUAGCGGAGAAAUUCCAAUCGAACCUGGAGAUAGCUGGUUCUCUCCGAAAUAGCUUUAGGGCUAGCCUCAAGUGAUGAUUAUUGGAGGUAGAGCACUGUUUGGACGAGGGGCCCCUCUCGGGUUACCGAAUUCAGACAAACUCCGAAUGCCAAUUAAUUUAACUUGGGAGUCAGAACAUGGGUGAUAAGGUCCGUGUUCGAAAGGGAAACAGCCCAGACCACCAGCUAAGGUCCCAAAAUAUAUGUUAAGUGGAAAAGGAUGUGGCGUUGCCCAGACAACUAGGAUGUUGGCUUAGAAGCAGCCAUCAUUUAAAGAGUGCGUAAUAGCUCACUAGUCGAGUGACACUGCGCCGAAAAUGUACCGGGGCUAAACAUAUUACCGAAGCUGUGGAUUGUCCUUUGGACAAUGGUAGGAGAGCGUUCUAAGGGCGUUGAAGCAUGAUCGUAAGGACAUGUGGAGCGCUUAGAAGUGAGAAUGCCGGUGUGAGUAGCGAAAGACGGGUGAGAAUCCCGUCCACCGAUUGACUAAGGUUUCCAGAGGAAGGCUCGUCCGCUCUGGGUUAGUCGGGUCCUAAGCUGAGGCCGACAGGCGUAGGCGAUGGAUAACAGGUUGAUAUUCCUGUACCACCUAUAAUCGUUUUAAUCGAUGGGGGGACGCAGUAGGAUAGGCGAAGCGUGCGAUUGGAUUGCACGUCUAAGCAGUAAGGCUGAGUAUUAGGCAAAUCCGGUACUCAUUAAGGCUGAGCUGUGAUGGGGAGAAGACAUUGUGUCUUCGAGUCGUUGAUUUCACACUGCCGAGAAAAGCCUCUAGAUAGAAAAUAGGUGCCCGUACCGCAAACCGACACAGGUAGUCAAGAUGAGAAUUCUAAGGUGAGCGAGCGAACUCUCGUUAAGGAACUCGGCAAAAUGACCCCGUAACUUCGGGAGAAGGGGUGCUCUUUAGGGUUAACGCCCAGAAGAGCCGCAGUGAAUAGGCCCAAGCGACUGUUUAUCAAAAACACAGGUCUCUGCUAAACCGUAAGGUGAUGUAUAGGGGCUGACGCCUGCCCGGUGCUGGAAGGUUAAGAGGAGUGGUUAGCUUCUGCGAAGCUACGAAUCGAAGCCCCAGUAAACGGCGGCCGUAACUAUAACGGUCCUAAGGUAGCGAAAUUCCUUGUCGGGUAAGUUCCGACCCGCACGAAAGGCGUAACGAUUUGGGCACUGUCUCAACGAGAGACUCGGUGAAAUCAUAGUACCUGUGAAGAUGCAGGUUACCCGCGACAGGACGGAAAGACCCCGUGGAGCUUUACUGUAGCCUGAUAUUGAAAUUCGGCACAGCUUGUACAGGAUAGGUAGGAGCCUUUGAAACGUGAGCGCUAGCUUACGUGGAGGCGCUGGUGGGAUACUACCCUAGCUGUGUUGGCUUUCUAACCCGCACCACUUAUCGUGGUGGGAGACAGUGUCAGGCGGGCAGUUUGACUGGGGCGGUCGCCUCCUAAAAGGUAACGGAGGCGCUCAAAGGUUCCCUCAGAAUGGUUGGAAAUCAUUCAUAGAGUGUAAAGGCAUAAGGGAGCUUGACUGCGAGACCUACAAGUCGAGCAGGGUCGAAAGACGGACUUAGUGAUCCGGUGGUUCCGCAUGGAAGGGCCAUCGCUCAACGGAUAAAAGCUACCCCGGGGAUAACAGGCUUAUCUCCCCCAAGAGUUCACAUCGACGGGGAGGUUUGGCACCUCGAUGUCGGCUCAUCGCAUCCUGGGGCUGUAGUCGGUCCCAAGGGUUGGGCUGUUCGCCCAUUAAAGCGGUACGCGAGCUGGGUUCAGAACGUCGUGAGACAGUUCGGUCCCUAUCCGUCGUGGGCGUAGGAAAUUUGAGAGGAGCUGUCCUUAGUACGAGAGGACCGGGAUGGACAUACCUCUGGUGUACCAGUUGUCGUGCCAACGGCAUAGCUGGGUAGCUAUGUGUGGACGGGAUAAGUGCUGAAAGCAUCUAAGCAUGAAGCCCCCCUCAAGAUGAGAUUUCCCAACUUCGGUUAUAAGAUCCCUCAAAGAUGAUGAGGUUAAUAGGUUCGAGGUGGAAGCAUGGUGACAUGUGGAGCUGACGAAUACUAA